AAGGGCGCGCGGUGGAUGCCUAGGCUCUCGGAGGCGAUGAAGGACGCGAUAAGCCGCGAUAGGCCACGGCGAGGUGCAAGUAACCCUUGACCCGUGGAUUUCCGAAUGGGGCAACCCGGCUGGAUAGAUUCCAGUCAUGCAUUAAUGCAAGCGAACGCGGGGAACUGAAACAUCUCAUUACCCGCAGGAGAAGAAAACAACAGUGAUUCCCCCAGUAGUGGCGAGCGAACGGGGAAGAGCCCAAACCGCUGCCGUUUCGGCGACAGCGGGGUCAUGGGACUGCGACAUUCGACGAUGGACGAAGUGCAAUUACCUGGAAAGGUAAGCCGUGGAGGGUGACAGCCCCGUGCACGACACCUCCAUCUAAGAUAGCGGUAUCCCGAGUAGGGCGGGACACGAGAAAUCCUGCCUGAAUUCGCCAGGACCUCCUGGCAAGGCUAAAUACUCCCGAGAGACCGAUAGUGAACCAGUACCGCGAGGGAAAGGUGAAAAGUACCCCGAGCAGGGGGGUGAAAUAGACCCUGAACCCGCGCGCCUACAAGCGGUCGGAGCCAUGAAAUAUGGUGACGGCGUGCCUUUUGCAUAAUGAGCCUACGAGUUAGUCGUCACCAGCGAGGUUAAGGGCUUCAGGCCCGUUAGCCGAAGUGAAAGCGAGCCUUAACAGGGCGUCGAGUUGGUGGCGCUAGACGCGAAACCUUGUGAUCUACCCACGAGCAGGUUGAAGUCGCGGUAACACGUGAUGGAGGACCGAACCGGUAAACGUUGAAAAGUUUUCGGAUGACUCGCGGGUAGGGGUGAAAGGCCAAUCAAACUGGGAAAUAGCUCGUACUCUCCGAAAUGCAUUUCGGUGCAGCCUGUGAUGUUCUGUUCCAGAGGUAGAGCUACUGGUUGGACGCGAGGGCUUCACCGCCUAUCAAAUCCGGAUAAACUCCGAAUGCUGGAACACGAAAUCAUGGAGUGAGCCCGCGGGUGCUAAGGUCCGCGGACGAGAGGGAAAGAACCCGGACCACCGGCUAAGGUCCCGGAUGGACAGUUAAGUUGAUCAAACGAGGUGGGAUCGCCGAGACAGCUAGGAUGUUGGCUUGGAAGCAGCCAUUCAUUUAAAGAGUGCGUAACAGCUCACUAGUCGAGCGAUCCCGCGUGGAUAAUACACGGGCAUCAAACUGUCAACCGAAGCCGUGGGGUCAGUGAAUAACUGACCGGUAGGAGAGCAUUCCUGCCAGCUUUGAAGGUCACCCGCGAGAGUGACUGGAGCGGCAUGAAAAGCAAAUGUAGGCAUAAGUAACGAUAAUGGGGGCGAGAACCCCCCACGCCGCAAGACCAAGGAUUCCCCGGCAAUGUCAAUCAGCCGGGGGUCAGCCGGCCUCUAAGGCUAACCCGAACGGGGACGCCGACGAGAAACGGGUUAACAUUCCCGUGCUUCUCGUCACCGUGACGCGGUGACGGGGUGAUGAAUGGACCGCGCGCUGACGGAAUAGCGCGUUGAAGGCCGUACCCGAUGACGGUGGUAGUCAAGCACGCCACCGGAGGCGAGAGCCGAUAGUACCACGAGACUCCGGUCGAGUGGAUAGCGUCCAGGCAAUUUACCCCCUAGAAAACCCGCUAAACUUCAAGUGACGAGGAACCGUACUGUAAACGGACACACGUGGUCGGGUAGAACAUACCAAGGCGCUCGAGUGAUUCAUGGUCAAGGAACUAGGCAAAAUAGUCCUGUAACUUCGGGAAAAAGGACGCUCUAGUGAUAGAGCCGCAGAGUAAUGGCCCAGGCGACUGUUUACCAAAAACACAUGGCUAUGCCAAAUCGAAAGAUGACGUAUAUGGCCUGACACCUGCCCGGUGCCGGAAGGUUAAGAGGAGAGCUCAUCCGCGAGGAGAAGGUUUGAAUUGAAGCCCCGGUAAACGGCGGCCGUAACUAUAACGGUCCUAAGGUAGCGAAAUUCCUUGUCGGGUAAGUUCCGACCUGCACGAAUGG
This 1972-nucleotide ribosomal RNA is filed under the name human gut metagenome. Its description in RNAcentral is "bacterial LSU rRNA". It matches the Rfam family "Bacterial large subunit ribosomal RNA", at positions 13 to 1999 of the family's 2925-position model. The record is from RNAcentral.